Stomoxys calcitrans (stable fly) is the source of this 3769-nucleotide long non-coding RNA. RefSeq lists it as uncharacterized. The record is from RefSeq and is a predicted model, not a curated record. The transcript has 7 exons. Lineage: Eukaryota; Metazoa; Arthropoda; Insecta; Diptera; Muscidae.
GUUAUUCCCCAGCACACGAGGGAAAACCUGUCGUAACAGUGGAUUAGGAGGAACUAGUUGCGUAGAGGUAAAAAUGUCAUUCUAAAAUAUUUGGGAAAGGAGGCAUCUGACGUACAGGAACAUUAUGCAGUUAAGAGUCAGUUUUGUAACAUAGCUGGGAAAUUUGGCAAUCUCAAUAUUGGAAGCACAUAGUAAGUUUGCGAAGAAAGUUGUAUAACCACUAUAAAGAGAUACAAAGAAUCCGCAUCGCAUACGAGGAUAAUGAUUUCAACGGACUGAAACUAGAAAAUGUUGAUAAGCAAAACAACAACGUUGAGCAUGAUGGUUCCCCCUUGAAUUCCGAGUACGAUUCCAAAUAUGAAUAUGAAUCAGCAAUUGAUAUUUCUGAAGAUUAUGCUAACAAUUCUUGCUCCCAAUUCGAGACCUUUCGAACAUGUGAACGAACCACCAGCAAUGCAGAUGAUGAUUGCUUGGAAUCGGAGUACAAUUUGCAUUUUCCUAAUGAUCUGCUGGAAUUAGAGAGCAGAACAUACAACCAACACUUGGAAGUCCAAAGCAACAGUGUUGGACAUGAUAAUUCCUCCAUGGAAUCAGAGUUUAAAUACGUAUCGGCAUUCGACUUUCCGGAAGAUUAUGUCAAUAAUUGUUGCAGCCAAUUCGAGACCUAUGGGUAAAGCGACCAAACCACCAAAACGUAUGAUGAUAAGUUGGAAUUGGAUAACAAUGGAGAUGUCCCAAUGAAAUCAAUAUAUUAUAUUACGUUAUAUGAGGAUUUAGACAGUUUUUCUAUCUUUGAAUAUACAAAUAAUACGCUGGGCGAUUUUUACUGUAAUCUUUUGGAAUUAGAGAGCUUUAGGCAAAGAUGGUACCAUCACAUCAAUGAAGAAAGCAAUAGCGUUGAAUAUGUUGAUUCCUCCGUAGAAUACGAAACCGAACUAGCAAACGAUAUAACUACAAAUGGUGCUAAUAAUUGUUGCUCCUACUUCCGAGACAUAUCGUAUAUGUGACCAAACCACAUCAGCUUAUGAUGAAGAUGUUCCAAUGUUACCGGAAUCGGAAUUCGGAAAUAUUUCAUGUGAGAAUAUGGAAAAUCUGUCCCUCUCUCAAAUCGAAAAUUAUUCCCCAGAAGAUUUUCGCACUGACCUUUUGGAAUUCGAAAACUCUGGGCAUCGAAGAUUGUACCAAUACUUUGAAGACAAAAGAGCCUCAGUGCACAUCACCAGAUAUGGGGAAGUUCAAAUAUAAACGAAAGUGGUGAACUGCUUAUCGAAUAUAGGUAUUAUAGAUUGCAAUCUGACGAUUUGUAAUGAAGGAAACGAACCAAUUUUUAUUAUCAGGAACAGGUACUACAAAUUACCUUUGUAUCAGAGAAUAUUAGCAGAAAAAUAUAUUACUUGAAUAACCACAGCUUCUCUGAUCAUGGCUACAUUAUUUUCAGUCCAGAAGAAAAUACCGCAGAUGUGGUCACUGGGCUAAACAGGAAAAAAGCGGAUUGGAAUAAAAUUCACACAAAUUCACCAGGGGUUAUUCGUUUUAGUUCCCACAACCCACUCGUAAUUAAAGAAAUUCGAUCUUCCAAAACAAAAAUGUUUAAUGUUAUGCAUUUUUUCAAUGUAUUUUGUGUUGACAAGAGUUAUGGAUGAAGUUUCUAUUUUAAAGAUUUUACCUACCUACCUAUGUUUACCUAUCUGUUGUCAAACUUUUCCAAUCAAGGAAGCAUACACAAAUUUUUUCAAAAAAGGAAAAUCAAAAUAAUCAGAACGAAAUCUAAAAAGAAACCUAACAAACCAGCAAUAAAAGAUGGAUCAAUUCAACCAAUUCGUGGAGUCCGAAUUUGAAGCAACCGAGGAACAUGGAAUUCGUGAAAAUAACAACAUUGACGAUGUUUGUUCUGCAAAUGAGCCCUAUCAAGAACGGGCGGAAGAGAGUGGUCAAAACGUUUUCCUGACCGUCCCGCGGCAAAAAUAGAAACCUAAAACGAAAAUCAAAGAAAGGCAACGAGGAAUGUCCUAAAUGAAGCCUUUGAUUCUGAUUGCGGGACGAAUGGGCAAUAUGGUGGAUUAGGAGGAACUAGUUGCGUAGAGGAAUAUUUGGGAUAGGAGGCAUCUGACGUACAGGAAUAUAAUGCAGUUGGGAGUCAGUUUUGUAACAUAGCUGGGAAUUUUGGCAAUCUGAAAAGGGAUUUCAGAGAUUGACAGCAGAGUUUGAACAAUUUUCAAUUAGAAGGCUAUAGAACAGCCGAUGCAUUUGUGGACGCCUCUAAUAACAUUGACUUAGAAUUUAGCUCAGGAUUCGAUACGGACGAGGAACCAGGGGUUAUUCGUUUUAGUUCCCACAACCCACUCGUAAUUAAAGAAAUUCGAUCUUCCAAAACAAAAAUGUUUAAUGCUAUGCAUUUUUUCAAUGUAUUUUGUGUUGACAAGAGCUAUGAAUGAAGUUUCUAUUUUAAAGAUUUUACCUACCUACCUAUGUUUUACCUAUCAGUUGUCAAACUUUUCAAAUCAAGGAAGCAUACACAAUUUUUUUCAAAAAAGGAAAAUCAAAAUAAUCAGAACGAAUUCUGAUUGCGGGACGAAUGGGCAAUAUGGUGGAUUAGGAGGAACUAGUUGCGUAGAGGAAUAUUUGGGAUAGGAGGCAUCUGACGUACAGGAAUAUAAUGCAGUUGGGAGUCAGUUUUAUAACAUAGCUGGAAAAUUUGGCAAUCCGAAAAGGUAUUUCAGAGAUUGGCAGCAAGUUUGAACAAUUUUCAAUUAGAAGGCUAUAGAACAGCCUAUGCCUUUGUGGACGCCUCUAAUAACAUUGACUUAGAAUUUAGCUUAGGAUUCGAUACGGACGAAGAACCAGGGGUUAUUCGUUUUAGUUCCCACAACCCACUCGUAAUUAAAGAAAUUCGAUCUUCCAAAAUAGAAAUGUUUAAUGUUAUGCAUUUUUUCCAAUGCAUUUUGUGUUGACAAGAGCUAUGAAUGAAGUUUCUUUUUUAAAGAUUUUACCUACCUACCUAUGUUUUACCUAUCAGUUGUCAAACUUUUCAAAUCAAGGAGCAUACAAAAAUUUUUUUCAAAAAAGGAAAAUCAAAAUAAUCAGAACGAAAUCUAAAAAGAAACCAAACAAACCAGCAAUAAAAGAUGGAUCUAUUCAUCCAAUUCGUGAAGUCCGAAUUUGAAGCAACUGAGAAACAUGGAAUUCGUGAAAAUAACAACAUUGACGAUUUCCAGAUUUUUGUUCUGCAAAUGAGCCCUAUCAAGAACGGCACGGAAAAGAGUCGUCAAAACGUUUUCCUGACCAUCCCGCGGCAAAAAUAGAAACCAAAAACGAAAAUCAAAGAAAGGCAACGAGGAAUGUCCUAAUGAAGUCUUUAUAGCCCAAAUUCACAUAAACAGAUUGUGGAAUCCCAAACAAACUCCGUGUUCUCUACUCUAGUCUCGGCAAAUAUAAAUUUCUGUGACGGGCCCUUCCCCCUCGAGUUAUUCCCCAGCACACGAGGGAAAACCUGUCGUAACAGUGGAUUAGGAGGAACUAGUUGCGUAGAGGUAAAAAUGUCAUUCUAAAAUAUUUGGGAAAGGAGGCAUCUGACGUACAGGAACAUUAUGCAGUUAAGAGUCAGUUUUGUAACAUAGCUGGGAAAUUUGGCAAUCUCAAUAUUGGAAGCACAUAGUAAGUUUGCGAAGAAAGUUGUAUAACCACUAUAAAGAGAUACAAAGAAUCCGCAUCGCAUACGAGGAUAAUGAUUUCAACGGACUGAAACUAGAAAAUGUUGAUAAGCAAAACA